Molecule: transfer RNA, 81 nt
Filed under: bacterium
Lineage: Bacteria
Description: tRNA-Leu
Rfam family: tRNA
About the family: Transfer RNA (tRNA) molecules are approximately 80 nucleotides in length. Their secondary structure includes four short double-helical elements and three loops (D, anti-codon, and T loops).
Source: RNAcentral
GCCGAGGUGGCGAAAUGGUAGACGCACUUGCCUUAGGAGCAAGCGCCGAAAGGCAUGCAGGUUCAAGUCCUGUCCUCGGUA